ACGAAGGGGGCUAGCGUUGUUCGGAAUCACUGGGCGUAAAGGGCGCGUAGGCGGCUUUGUAAGUCGGGGGUGAAAGCCUGUGGCUCAACCACAGAAUUGCCUUCGAUACUGCAUGGCUUGAGACCGGAAGAGGUAAGUGGAACUGCGAGUGUAGAGGUGAAAUUCGUAGAUAUUCGCAAGAACACCAGUGGCGAAGGCGGCUUACUGGUCCGGUUCUGACGCUGAGGCGCGAAAGCGUGGGGAGCAAACAGGA
Molecule: ribosomal RNA, 253 nt
Filed under: uncultured prokaryote
Description: partial 16S ribosomal RNA
Rfam family: Bacterial small subunit ribosomal RNA
Source: RNAcentral